GGUCAUGAGUGCCAGCGUCCAAGCCCCGGCUUGCUGGACGGCAACCCUCCACACGCGGUGGGGUGCCCCGGGUGAUGACCGGGCGGCCCGUCAACCCUGGCGGGCGGCAAGCGCGGUCC
This 119-nucleotide non-coding RNA is filed under the name Actinomycetota bacterium. Its description in RNAcentral is "Actinobacteria bacterium SAM-IV sequence". It matches the Rfam family "SAM (S-adenosyl methionine) riboswitch aptamer". Rfam says of the family: SAM-IV is a mRNA element that regulates gene expression via direct sensing of S-adenosylmethionine (SAM or AdoMet). SAM-IV riboswitches share conserved nucleotide positions with the previously described SAM-I riboswitches sequence analysis and molecular recognition experiments suggest that SAM-I and SAM-IV riboswitches share similar ligand binding sites, but have different scaffolds. Lineage: Bacteria; Bacillati; Actinomycetota. The record is from RNAcentral.